GAAUAUGAGGGCUAUCUGGUUGUGACGUCUAUCACCCCAGUAAUCACUGGGGCCGACUCAGGUGACCUGCUUGGCUAGGCAGGUGUUCCCUUUCUCUCUGACUGUCCACGCGCAUCCUGCUGUAAGCUGUGCACUCGCUCAGUUGAAGAGUUUGAACUUUCCCGAUAAAGGAUGACCGUUCUUUGGUCAAGGGUAUACCAAUAGCUGUACUUCCCAGCUACAUCUUCCAAACAAACUCUCAAAUUGGGGCAGCCAGCCUCCAAGAUGGCUCUAAACCUCUUGUUAUUCAUGAUCUUGUGCAG
Vulpes vulpes (red fox) is the source of this 302-nucleotide unclassified non-coding RNA. Its record names the gene 7SK. It matches the Rfam family "7SK RNA". From Rfam's summary of the family: 7SK was discovered as an abundant small nuclear RNA in the mid-70s but a possible function has only recently been suggested. The record is from Ensembl. Lineage: Eukaryota; Metazoa; Chordata; Mammalia; Carnivora; Canidae.